RNAcentral lists this long non-coding RNA (500 nucleotides) under Cercocebus atys (sooty mangabey). RNAcentral describes it as "lncRNA (ENSCATG00000045784.1)". The record is from RNAcentral. Lineage: Eukaryota; Metazoa; Chordata; Mammalia; Primates; Cercopithecidae.
GGGGCAGGGUGGAAGAGGAAAGGGUGCGGCAGUUGGCUGGUCCGCACCUGGGAGCUCUGCGCGCCUGCUCCCCUGGACUCCACACUGGGGCGGGAGCUGCACGGGCCGUAUCCCACGGGAAGGAGAAGGAGGAAGAGGACGACGACGCCGAGGAGACCCAGGAUUCUGAGGACGACGAGGAGCAUGAGAUAGAGGACGACGAUGACUCUGAUUAUCUGGAGGAGAUAGAAGACCACGACGACGACACCAGUUACUGCACGGAAAGCAGCUUCAGGAGCCAUAGUACCUACAGCAGCACUCCAGGCCACCUCCUCCAUCCCCCUUGAAGACUGAAAAAGGGGAACUCGAAAGAAAAACUGAAAAUUUCAGACCGAGCUACAGCACAGGAGACCAUGCUGUCAUCCUGAAGCAGAGGCUGGGGACGCCGCCAAGAGGAUCACAGCAUCCUCCAGGGUUCACUGAUGCCACUGACCUAGGCUUUCUUUUUCUUUUCUUAUCUU